RNAcentral lists this ribosomal RNA (527 nucleotides) under Salegentibacter sp. RNAcentral's name for it is "bacterial SSU rRNA". It matches the Rfam family "Bacterial small subunit ribosomal RNA", at positions 382 to 905 of the family's 1533-position model. Lineage: Bacteria; Pseudomonadati; Bacteroidota; Flavobacteriia; Flavobacteriales; Flavobacteriaceae. The record is from RNAcentral.
CCUGAUCCAGCCAUGCCGCGUGCAGGAAGACUGCCCUAUGGGUUGUAAACUGCUUUUACAGAGGAAGAACCACUCCCACGUGUGGGAGUUUGACGGUACUCUGCGAAUAAGGAUCGGCUAACUCCGUGCCAGCAGCCGCGGUAAUACGGAGGAUCCAAGCGUUAUCCGGAAUCAUUGGGUUUAAAGGGUCCGUAGGCGGGCAGUUAAGUCAGUGGUGAAAGUCUUCCGCUCAACGGGAGAACUGCCAUUGAUACUGAUUGUCUUGAGUUAUUAUGAAGUGGUUAGAAUGAGUAGUGUAGCGGUGAAAUGCAUAGAUAUUACUCAGAAUACCGAUNGCGAAGGCAGAUCACUAAUAAUAUACUGACGCUGAUGGACGAAAGCGUAGGUAGCGAACAGGAUUAGAUACCCUGGUAGUCUACGCCGUAAACGAUGGUUACUAGCUGUUCGGCCCGAUUAAGGGCUGAGUGGUUAAGCGAAAGUGAUAAGUAACCCACCUGGGGAGUACGUUCGCAAGAAUGAAACUCAAA